CGCUUACCACUUUGUGAUUCAUGACUGGGGUGAAGUCGUAACAAGGUAACCGUAGGGGAACCUGCGGUUGGAUCACCUCCUUACCUGAAGAUACC
RNAcentral lists this ribosomal RNA (95 nucleotides) under Pantoea sp. RIT-PI-b. Its description in RNAcentral is "partial 16S ribosomal RNA". The stretch from base 1 to 83 matches the Rfam family "Bacterial small subunit ribosomal RNA", at positions 1451 to 1533 of the family's 1533-position model. The record is from RNAcentral. Lineage: Bacteria; Pseudomonadati; Pseudomonadota; Gammaproteobacteria; Enterobacterales; Erwiniaceae.